UCAGUUAUCGUUUAUUUGAUAGUACCUACUUACUUGGAUAACCGUGGUAAUUCUAGAGCUAAUACAUGCUAAAAACCCCGACUUCCGAAGGGGUGUAUUUAUUAGAUAAAAAACCAAUGCCCUUCGGGGCUCCCUGGUGAUUCAUAAUAACUAAACGAAUCGCAUGGCCUUGCGCCGGCGAUGGUUCAUUCAAAUUUCUGCCCUAUCAACUUUCGAUGGUAGGAUAGUGGCCUACCAUGGUGGCAACGGGUAACGCUUCCCCUGUUGCCCGUUGCGCGCAGCACCCGUCGGGGAUCCCUUUCGGGGGAAUCUUCCCCGGCGACAUCACUGGUUCAGAGGACGCCCCCCCUUACGGGGGGGCCAACCCUGAGGCGAGUGCCCCCGGGCACCGUCGAAACGCAUGCGAAGUGGUGGGCCCCCGGACUCCGGGGGCUUUCGAUACAUGCUACCGCCCGGCGCCCCCGCCGGAGCGGCGUGUGAACGGGGAAUUAGGGUUCUAUUCCGGAGAGGGAGCCUGAGAAACGGCUACCACAUCCAAGGAAGGCAGCAGGCGCGCAAAUUACCCAAUCCCGACGCGGGGAGGUAGUGACAAUAAAUACUGAUGUGGAGCUCUUUAGGGUUUCACAAUUGGAAUGAAAACGAUCUAAACCAACUAAUGAGGAACAAUUGGAGGGCAAGUCUGGUGCCAGCAGCCGCGGUAAUUCCAGCUCCAAUAGCGUAUAUUAAAGUUGUUGCAGUUAAAAAGCUCGUAGUUGAACCUUGGGCCUGGCCGCCCGGUCCGCCUCACCGCGUGCACUGGUUCGGCCGNGCCUUUCCUCCUGGGGAACCGCAUGCCCUUCACUGGGUGUGCCGGGGAAUCAGGACUUUUACUUUGAAAAAAUUAGAGUGUUCAAGCAGGCAUUUGCUCGAAUACAUUAGCAUGGAAUAAUAGAUAGGACGUCGU
This 943-nucleotide ribosomal RNA is filed under the name Trapelia antarctica. RNAcentral's name for it is "bacterial SSU rRNA". It matches the Rfam family "Eukaryotic small subunit ribosomal RNA", at positions 106 to 833 of the family's 1831-position model. Lineage: Eukaryota; Fungi; Ascomycota; Lecanoromycetes; Trapeliales; Trapeliaceae. The record is from RNAcentral.